RNAcentral lists this ribosomal RNA (427 nucleotides) under uncultured bacterium. Its description in RNAcentral is "bacterial SSU rRNA". It matches the Rfam family "Bacterial small subunit ribosomal RNA", at positions 355 to 774 of the family's 1533-position model. The record is from RNAcentral.
AGGGGAAUAUUGGACAAUGGGCGCAAGCCUGAUCCAGCAAUGCCGCGUGUGUGAAGAAGGCCUUCGGGUUGUAAAGCACUUUUAUCAGGAGCGAAAUACUACCGGUUAAUAACCGGUGGGGCUGACGGUACCUGAGGAAUAAGCACCGGCUAACUUCGUGCCAGCAGCCGCGGUAAUACGAAGGGUGCAAGAGUUAAUCGGAAUUACUGGGCGUAAAGCGUGCGUAGGCGGUUUGUUAAGUCUGCUGUGAAGUCCUCGGGCUCAACCUGGGAAUGGCAGUGGAUACUGGCAAGCUAGAGUGUGAUAGAGGAUGGUGGAAUUCCCGGUGUAGCGGUGAAAUGCGUAGAGAUCGGGAGGAAUAUCUGUGGCGAAGGCGACUGCCUGGACCAGCACUGACACUGAGGUACGAAAGCGUGGGGAGCAAACA